Molecule: non-coding RNA, 160 nt
Filed under: Burkholderia sp.
Lineage: Bacteria; Pseudomonadati; Pseudomonadota; Betaproteobacteria; Burkholderiales; Burkholderiaceae
Description: Glycine sequence
Rfam family: Glycine riboswitch aptamer
About the family: This family represents the bacterial glycine riboswitch. Glycine riboswitches usually consist of two metabolite-binding aptamers domains with similar structures in tandem.
Source: RNAcentral
UUUUCGCACUCUGGAGAGCGGCAGUAGCCGUCUGCACCGCAUGCACUGCAUACGGCGCGCAGACCCGGCAAGCUGCCCACCGAAGGGGCGCGCGUUCAACCGCGGCGAGUCAUCGCCACGGCAGCGCAAUCUCUCAGGUAUCGAGGACAGAGGGGCCAUG